GCUGGCGGCAGGCCUAACACAUGCAAGUCGAACGGUAGCACAGAGGAGCUUGCUCCUUGGGUGACGAGUGGCGGACGGGUGAGUAAUGUCUGGGAAACUGCCCGAUGGAGGGGGAUAACUACUGGAAACGGUAGCUAAUACCGCAUAACGUCGCAAGACCAAAGAGGGGGACCUUCGGGCCUCUUGCCAUCGGAUGUGCCCAGAUGGGAUUAGCUAGUAGGUGGGGUAACGGCUCACCUAGGCGACGAUCCCUAGCUGGUCUGAGAGGAUGACCAGCCACACUGGAACUGAAACACGGUCCAAACUCCUACGGGAGGCAGCAGUGGGGAAUAUUGCACAAUGGGCGCAAGCCUGAUGCAGCCAUGCCGCGUGUAUGAA
RNAcentral lists this ribosomal RNA (378 nucleotides) under Citrobacter freundii. Its description in RNAcentral is "bacterial SSU rRNA". It matches the Rfam family "Bacterial small subunit ribosomal RNA", at positions 35 to 409 of the family's 1533-position model. Lineage: Bacteria; Pseudomonadati; Pseudomonadota; Gammaproteobacteria; Enterobacterales; Enterobacteriaceae. The record is from RNAcentral.